CGCAGAAGUUGGACAAAGACACACCCACAGGGAAAGCACCAUGAGAAGAUGACGGCAGAGAUCUGGGCGACGCGUCUACAAGCCAAGCGACACCAAAGGUGGCCAGCAGCCCAUGUGAAGCUGGAGGAGAGGCCUCGAAUAAAUGCUCCCUUACAGCGUUCAGGGGGAACUGACCCUGUCCACACCUUGACCUUGAACUUCUGGGCUCCAGAACUGUGAGACAGCAUGUUCUGUUGUUGAAGGUACCUGGUCUGGGGUGCGUGGUGCUUUGCAGCCAAAGUGAAUGAAUCUGGUGACACUGACCUGUGUACUGUAUGUCUUGUCUGCAGCUUGCUGGAGCAGCGUGGCUAGAGGAAUUCCUGCAGCUUAGAUUUCGCUGGCACUGUUACCACUCCCAGAGAGGAGCGGCUGGAGUUCACGGCUGGUUCCUGACAAACUUCCUAAUUAAUCUGCUAAAGAUCAGAGGAGGACUAAUAGGAGCUGAAGACUGUGUGCGAGACCACCCCUCCGCCCUCUCCCUUUGUGUGUGCACGUGUGUGUGUGUGUGUGUGUGAGCGCGUGCGCGCAUGUGGUGCUGAGCUUGGCGGGAGAGAGAUGGCCUCACCAGCGACAAAGCAUUCCUGCUGCUGUUGCUGCCACCUACCUUCCCUGCUUUGGGAGGAUACAUUUUCUCCUCUUGCUUAGAAGUUUCAGGGAGUCACCCAAGCCUUCUUCUCCCAGAUACAACGGUGGAAUAAAAUAUCUUCCAGCCAACAUAUUUUUUGGAGACGGAAUCUCACUCUGUCACCUGGUUGAAGUGCAGCAGCGCGAUCAUGGCUCACUGCAACCUCUGCCUCCCGGUUUCAAGUGAUUCUCCUGCCUCCGCCUCCCGAGUAGCUGGGAUUACAGGCAUGUGCCACCCACCACGCCUGGGUAAUUUUUGUAUUUUUACUAGAGACAGGGUUUCACUAUGUGGGCUGGGCUGGUCUCAAACUCCUGACCUCUGGUGAUCUGCCCACUUCGGCCUCUCAAAGUGCUGGGAUUACAGGCAUGAGCCCCCGCACCCGGUUGCAACCAACUUUUUUGUGGAAUAUAGGAUCUUGAUGUUUGGAUGCCUGAAGGCAGAAGCUGUUGCACAUGGAAUGGAUUAAAGUUUUCCCCUCUGCAACCAAAAAUCCUUGGGGUCCCAGGAGCAAAAGAUGCUCCAUGGCACAGGACAAUUCAAGAAGGCCCGAGGUGAUAUUGAAGACUGCAGAGACAUCCAGCUCAGUUGUGUCUCCGGAGGUGUCCAGACUUUGCAGACAGACGUUGCACAUAAAGAGCUGAAAAACUGAGGAAGCUGAGCUGGAGAAGGAAGUCACUUCUACUCAGACUUGACCUGCGUCUGAUGCUAUGGGGCCUCUUAGGGUUACCUCAUGCUUCAUGCACCCCUUUCUCUGUUCUUCAGCAGAAGGCAGGGUGUAGGGAAGCGGGACUGUGCCUCCUUUCUCCCUGCCAGGCCUGACUCUCCAGGCCAAGAGACACCAUUAAGGAGUAUAAUUUGUUGAUCCAGGCUCUCCUUGCGUUUCAGUGCAGAGUGGCAUCGUUUUCUUUAUGACCUCGUAAAGUCACAGCCGAGAGGCCGAUUUGGAAAACAAACUGCCUCAGGUUGACAGAUAAUUAGAUACAGGGGACAUAUUAUAUGCCUUUGCAUAUAAAUGUGCUCCGAGGCGUGUUGGUUCAUCUGAAGUUGAGGUUAAAGGCGCGCCAGGUAUUCCUGACACAUCAGGAUAUAUAUUUUCAUACAGUCUCAGGUGCUGUGUUGGUUUUAUAGGCCUUUCAUCCUGGUGCUGACGGAUGGGGUGUGAUUGUGACCCAACUUAGAAGAAAGGGACUUCCCUUGCCCAGGGGCCUCCUGGCGUUUUUGUUUUGUGUUCUCCCUCUCCACCCCCACUUUCUCUUCUUCCUUGGGAAGGGAACUGUUCUUUGGACCUAGGAUUCUGCCGUGAGUGACUAAUGGCCUGAGUAGGAGGGACCGGGACUCAUUUUUCUUUUCUGGACUCUAAUAGGCCCAAUUAAUUCAGCUACAACAUGGGCCCUUACAAGCCUGGGACAAGCCUGGGUGGAAUUCUAUAUUGAGGAGUUAAUCCUAAUAAAAAAUGAUUACAGAAGAGGACGCCUCCACCCACAGGAAGGAGCCAGCACGGUGGGGAGCUGUUUCACCAGGGGAGUGUUCUCAGCAGCUGCCACACGUGGAGUUGUGGAGGUAGCAAGCAGAGUUGGGGGAGGAGGGGGAGCCCUGGUUCCUGCUCUUCCAUGAUCAGUGUGCAGCCUUGAGCAUGGCACUCCCUCUCUUCCCAGCUUAGUGUCCUCAUCCGUAAAAUGAGGGGCUCUCUGAGAGUCUGCCAGGGCCGCUGUCUGAUCUGUGACAGCGUGGCAUGUGGUGUGGUAUGUAAUGCACGUUCCUGCCUGCAGGGAGGCCCUCUCCCUUCCCCCACCAGGCUUCUGGGCAGCACUUGCUGUCAUCCUUGCUUCUGGAACAGGACUGUGCUGUUUUCCAGGCCAAAUUGGAGGGCUGAGGGGGUCUAUUAAGAAGACUCUGGGGAGAUGGUGGAACAAUUCUGUGCUUGAAAUUACCUUCCUCUUUAAAUCUUGCCAUGGCCCUAUUAGAAAAGCUAAGGGGGCAGGAGGAGAGGAGCGGGCAGGGAGAGGAGAGAGAGAGAGAAGAAGGAAGAAGGAAAGGGAAAGGUAAGAAACCCCAUAGCCCGACCCUCAGCCCUGUUGAAGGAGAUUAUAUAAAUAGAGUCGCUGUCACUUUGAUGAAUUAAAUCCUCCGUUAAUUAGGACGCAUCCAUUUAAGGGUUGUCCAGCCAGAUAGUCCUUUUCCCUUCCCAGCAAGUCAUAGCUCAGGGAGGAGGCAUGAGAGGGAUCGUUUUCUGUUUCUGGCUUGAUUGCUGGUUUCUUUCUUACUAGGCUUCAUUAAUUAUCCUGGAAUGUGGUCACCCAGUUUUCUUCAACAUGGGCCAUUCUCCUUUUAGCAGGAUCUUGGCAGUGGACUGCCACGGGAGCUCUGGGGAAAAAGGACCAGUUGGACUCCAGUACCUCCUGAGAGACCACCACCCUCCAUGCCUCCAGCUCAUGCCCAGCUCUGAGUCAGACGGACUCUUCCUGUUGUACUGCGAGGUUCUGCAAACCUUGAAGGGCAAACACAGUGAGGGUCUCUGACUUGCUGUGUGGACAGCCCACUCUCUGACAGCCCAGAUCAUCUGAAGCUAUCCCUGGGCUGGGAGCUGGAAGCCAUUCUUGUGAACCACUCCUUAUACCUUGAGCGAAGCCUCUUUGGGUCCCAGAAGUCUGAAGCUCCAGCUGCCUGGCAAGACUGAGUCUAGAUGAUUUCUUGGGUACCAGUAGUUUGGCAUUUAAAAAUACUGGAUUAACUGCAGUGUAAACUUAGAUUGCAUUUCAGAUUGUAAACAAUAACCCCCGUGCUUCAUGUGAUGUUAAAUCAGAAAUGAGCUAUUAGCCAAGCUAGUCCUCUUAUGAAUGAGCCCCUAACCCUGAUCCAGGGAUCGUUGAAUGAAAAUCAUCAAAAUGAUUUAUCUUCACUUUACCUAUUGUCUCACAAGAAUCUCAUCACUCAGGGAAAAGGAGGGUGUUCUUCAGGGAACGGAGGGCAUGAGGAAGGGGGAUUUCCUUAUAUCUCAACUUUCAGAGGGAGCUGAGUUGUAAACAGAUGGAACAAGGUGUGUACGAGAAGCCUCUUAGAUUUAGUCUUUCAUAUCAAGGCUCUUGCUGAAAAUCCUGGCACAGCUGUGAAAUGAGGGGAGCUCUGACACACAGAGACACGCUCCUUGCCUCACCAACCUUCCCAUACACAGUCAUGCGCACAGAGAGCAGGUACCAAUACUGAAAAUGCCCUUCCGGAGUUUCCUCAGCUUAAACCCUUGACAGCAUUAAGUGAGGAAGGAGUUUCCUUGACCUGGGGAAGAAGAACCAACUCAUAAACAUGGAACUGUG
Molecule: long non-coding RNA, 3975 nt
Filed under: Homo sapiens (human)
Lineage: Eukaryota; Metazoa; Chordata; Mammalia; Primates; Hominidae
Description: HSALNT0346185
Source: RNAcentral